Papaver somniferum (opium poppy) is the source of this 482-nucleotide long non-coding RNA. RefSeq lists it as uncharacterized. Lineage: Eukaryota; Viridiplantae; Streptophyta; Magnoliopsida; Ranunculales; Papaveraceae. The record is from RefSeq and is a predicted model, not a curated record. The transcript is spliced from 2 exons.
AGUAACCUCUCGACUUUAUGUUUCUUCGAUUGAUUUCUUCGUUUUCUUGGGGAAACAAAGAGAGAGCCAGAGAGGCGAGAGAUAAGUAGAUGAUUUUAUUUGCGAUUUUCGUUUGAUUUCAGCUUCGAAUUUUCAUUUUUAGGUUUGUUUCGAUUCUGAUUUUUCUCUUUUAGGUUUUAGAUCUUUAUUUUGUUGUUUUCUUAGGGUUUUGAAGCACAUGACAUAUAGCAGAAGAAAGGAGCUCUGCAAACUUAAAGGGGGGAUUAGGCGGAAAGGGAAUAUAAGGAGGCACACUUCAAACGGAAAACGACAAUAGGAUGAUCCAAACGAUUCAAACCAUGACAGUAGUGAGAUAUAAGAAGUCCCCUAGGACUACAAAUGAAUUUUUCAUUUGAUUUAUUAUUGUGUUGACGAUGAUCAAGUAAUUAUACUUUUCAUAUUGUAACAGAAAACUUACCAUUAAAGAUUUUUUGUGAGUUAUA